Camellia sinensis is the source of this 1376-nucleotide non-coding RNA. The record is from RefSeq and is a predicted model, not a curated record. NCBI's taxonomy places the organism in Eukaryota, Viridiplantae, Streptophyta, Magnoliopsida, Ericales, Theaceae.
UUCUAAAUUUUACGGAUUCAUCAUAACAUUCUUUAGUAUCACUCAUUCAUUCUAAUGCUAUAUUUCGGUUUGCGAAUUAUCAUCACCUACUGCUACUCGUACCAUUUCCCUAAUAUUUCUGCUUAUUACUGUCUAAUCAUCAUUUAGUGAUGGCCUUUUUGCUCAACAAGUGAUAGUUGAAAUCCAAUAGAUGAAAAUGGAUGGAUACUUGUGGAAUCAUAAUCAACAUCCAUAUAAAUACUUCAAGAAUUGCAGUUAACCCGGGCUCCCCUUAUUUUGUUUCCUUUACAUUAGAGAAAUUUAGAUUAUGUUCUUUCUUAUACCAAGUCAUUCUGAAUAUUUUAUUUCUUAUAUGUUUUUGAAAUAAAUUUGGUGUAGUUAUUGCUUUGAAAGUAGAGAAUAAUUGUAAAAGAAAAUGACACUGCAAGUUUGGAACUUACAAUUCGUGGUUUUGAACCAUAGGUGAGCUCGAUUGGAGUCACUGGUGCUCGUGUAUCUGUUAGUGGAAAGGUUCAAACUCUUCUACAGGAUAUUAAACAGGUUUGUCUUCUAUAGCAUCGCAUACCAAACCUUAAAAUGUAAUAGAACUAUCUUGUAUCUCAGUAUGAAAAAGGUAUGGUGUCCUUUUAAAGACACGACACAGUCAUGCCAUUAGGUAGAUUAAGACCAAUUGCAACUGUUUAACUUAUGUUUCAUGCUAUUCACACUUGUUUGGGUGAGCAACUGAAGUAUGUGGUGCAGACAUGGAUAGACUUGCCCUUUCAUCCCAACUUAUCGGAAUUGCUGCAUUUUUCGGGCCUUGAUACAACAUUUGGAUAGGCUUUCAAAUAAUGUGAAAUUGUAAUGAGAUGCUUAGUAUUGCGUAAUGCCUAGUAUCAUGAUUUUAGUCUUGAUCACGUGUUAAUUCCACUUUGUCUGGAAUGGCAUUUGAAUGUCUGACUUGUAGACUAGUCCUAUUUAGAGCCAUAGAUUUAUGAUGUGAUUGGUUUCUAUUGUGUUUUGGUGCUUUUUGACAGGCAACAAGUAAGCCUGUAGCAGUUGGCUUUGGCAUAUCAAAACCCGAGCAUGUGAAGCAGAUGGCAGGAUGGGGAGCUGACGGUGUGAUUGUUGGUAGUGCCAUGGUGAAACUACUGAGUGAGGCAAAAUCCCCCGAAGAAGGGCUGAAAGAAUUAGAAAUCUUCACUAAAUUGUUGAAAUCUGCACUGCCUUGGCGGCUAGUUCUGCCAUUUCAGAGCCAAUUUUGUAUCUUUAGCAUCACAUCUUUUUAGACUUUCAAAAUCAUCCGAAUUUUGAGUUUUUGUACAAAUUGGAUUCAAGCUUUUGACAAUGCUUCAUUUUAAAUUGAAAUAAUUCCAUCAAUGGAAACAUUAACUUCA